RNAcentral lists this ribosomal RNA (670 nucleotides) under uncultured bacterium. Its description in RNAcentral is "bacterial SSU rRNA". It matches the Rfam family "Bacterial small subunit ribosomal RNA", at positions 171 to 835 of the family's 1533-position model. The record is from RNAcentral.
GCAUACGUCCUACGGGAGAAAGCAGGGGAUCUUCGGACCUUGCGCUAAUAGAUGAGCCUAAGUCGGAUUASCUAGUUGGUGGGGUAAAGGCCUACCAAGGCGACGAUCUGUAGCGGGUCUGAGAGGAUGAUCCGCCACACUGGGACUGAGACACGGCCCAGACUCCUACGGGAGGCAGCAGUGGGGAAUAUUGGACAAUGGGGGGAACCCUGAUCCAGCCAUGCCGCGUGUGUGAAGAAGGCCUUAUGGUUGUAAAGCACUUUAAGCGAGGAGGAGGCUACUGAGACUAAUACUCUUGGAUAGUGGACGUUACUCGCAKAAUAAGCACCGGCUAACUCUGUGCCAGCAGCCGCGGUAAUACAGAGGGUGCGAGCGUUAAUCGGAUUUACUGGGCGUAAAGCGUGCGUAGGCGGCUUUUUAAGUCGGAUGUGAAAUCCCCGAGCUUAACUUGGGAAUUGCAUUCGAUACUGGGAAGCUAGAGUAUGGGAGAGGAUGGUAGAAUUCCAGGUGUAKCGGUGAAAUGCGUAGAGAUCUGGAGGAAUACCGAUGGCGAAGGCAGCCAUCUGGCCUAAUACUGACGCUGAGGUACGAGAGCAUGGGGAGCAAACAGGAUUAGAUACCCUGGUAGUCCAUGCCGUAAACGAUGUCUACUASCCGUUGGGGCCUUUGA